This 94-nucleotide microRNA precursor is filed under the name Nicotiana sylvestris (wood tobacco). Its description in RNAcentral is "MIR6152 microRNA precursor family". It matches the Rfam family "MIR6152 microRNA precursor family". RNAcentral also lists the same sequence under 1 other name. The record is from Rfam by way of RNAcentral. Lineage: Eukaryota; Viridiplantae; Streptophyta; Magnoliopsida; Solanales; Solanaceae.
UGGACAGAUUAUUGUUCGACUGUAUUUACGGCGUGAAACAGGGGAUUACACUAUUUUUAAACGAAAAGUGAAUCGAUUAACAUAAUAGACUUCU